UCCCUAGUAGUCCAGUGGCUAGAACUCUGCACUCCCAAUGCAAGGGGCCUGGGUUCAACCCCUGUGUAGGAA
Molecule: transfer RNA, 72 nt
Filed under: Bos taurus (domestic cattle)
Lineage: Eukaryota; Metazoa; Chordata; Mammalia; Artiodactyla; Bovidae
Rfam family: tRNA
About the family: Transfer RNA (tRNA) molecules are approximately 80 nucleotides in length. Their secondary structure includes four short double-helical elements and three loops (D, anti-codon, and T loops).
Source: Rfam by way of RNAcentral